GCUGUUACAAAGGCGUUUAGUUUAUUCUCAUCAGUAUCACUGAUAUUCUCAUGGUUCACAUUUGCCAACGCCGCUCCUCUCCUUACAGUAGUUAAAUGUGCAAUCUCACUUGGGGGCCCAGGGAGGGGUGGGGGUUGGGGAGGCAGAUGAGAGGCAGGGAGGACGAGGGCCAGAAACGCAAACAAGGAUGUGGAUGUGGAUGGUGAAAUGACACCCUGCAUAGGGGGAUGGGGAGUUAAAAAAGAAAAAAAACUCUGCCUUCACAUGAAAAUCUAAAACAACAACAAAAAACCACCCGCUCUGGGCGAGAACAAAAAGAGAGGAAUGGUAAAAGAGAAAAUUCUGCAAACAACUGCUAACAAUGGAAGUGGACCGGCCCUGCCCUGCCCUGCCCAGCCCCCAGGAGCCGGGCCCAGCCAACCAGCCAAGGCCUGGGACACCCUUAAACUAUAGCCCUGU
Molecule: non-coding RNA, 459 nt
Filed under: Pan troglodytes (chimpanzee)
Lineage: Eukaryota; Metazoa; Chordata; Mammalia; Primates; Hominidae
Source: RNAcentral